AUUGAACGCUGGCGGCAGGCUUAACACAUGCAAGUCGAGCGGAGUGAAGGUGCUGGCACCAUCACUUAGCGGCGGACGGGUGAGUAAUGCUUAGGAAUCUGCCUAUUAGUGGGGGACAACAUCUCGAAAGGGAUGCUAAUACCGCAUACGUCCUACGGGAGAAAGCAGGGGAUCACUUGUGACCUUGCGCUAAUAGAUGAGCCUAAGUCGUAUUAGCUAGUUGGUGGGGUAAAUGCCUACCAAGGCGACGAUCUGUAGCGGGUCUGAGAGGAUGAUCCGCGACACUGGGACUGAGACACGGCCCAAACUCAUACGGGAGGCAGCAGUGGGGAAUAUUGGACAAUGGGGGGAACCCUAAUCCAGCCAUGCCGCGUGUGUGAAGAAGGCCUUAUGGUUGUAAAGCACUUUAAGCGAGGAGGAGGCUCUUUUGGUUAAUACCCAAGAUGAGUGGACGUUACUCGCAGAAUAAGCACCGGCUAACUCUGUGCCAGCAGCCGCCGUAA
This 503-nucleotide ribosomal RNA is filed under the name uncultured bacterium. RNAcentral describes it as "partial 16S ribosomal RNA". It matches the Rfam family "Bacterial small subunit ribosomal RNA", at positions 30 to 523 of the family's 1533-position model. The record is from RNAcentral.